This 364-nucleotide unclassified non-coding RNA is filed under the name uncultured bacterium. RNAcentral's name for it is "contains 16S-23S intergenic spacer region". The record is from RNAcentral.
UCCCCGUUGCCAGGGCAGUCUGAUUAGAAAAAUACAACUAAUCACAAGGGUUGCGCUCGUUAAUGGACUUAACCAAACAUCUCACGACACGAGCUGACGACGGCCAUGCAUCAUCUGUCACUUGGUUCAAUAAAGCACUCUCGCCUUUCGGCAAAAUUCCAAGGAUGUCAAACCCUGGUAAGGUUCUUCGUUUAUCAUCGAAUUAAAGAACACGAUCCACCGCUUGUGCGGGUCCCCGUCAAUUCCUUUGAGUUUUAGCCUUGCGGCCGUAGUCCCCAGGCGGGGUGCUUACUGCGUUAGCGGCGGCACCGCGGGGGGUCGCUCCCCCAGGCACCUAGUGCCCAUCGUUUACGGCGUGGACUAC